GACGAACCGAGCGAACGUUGUUCGGAAUAACUGGGCUUAAAGGGCGCGUAGGCGGGCCGCCAAGUUCGAGGUGAAAUCCUCCGGCUCAACCGGAGAACUGCCUCGAAUACUGGAGGCCUCGAGGCGGGUAGGGGCACGCGGAACUGUGGGUGGAGCGGUGAAAUGCGUUGAUAUCCACAGGAACUCCGGUGGCGAAGGCGGCGUGCUGGACCCGAUCUGACGCUGAGGCGCGAAAGCGUGGGUAGCAAACAGG
RNAcentral lists this ribosomal RNA (253 nucleotides) under uncultured bacterium. Its description in RNAcentral is "partial 16S ribosomal RNA". It matches the Rfam family "Bacterial small subunit ribosomal RNA", at positions 524 to 776 of the family's 1533-position model. The record is from RNAcentral.